This 443-nucleotide ribosomal RNA is filed under the name uncultured bacterium. RNAcentral describes it as "partial 16S ribosomal RNA". It matches the Rfam family "Bacterial small subunit ribosomal RNA", at positions 338 to 795 of the family's 1533-position model. The record is from RNAcentral.
CCUACGGGAGGCAGCAGUGGGGAAUAUUGGGCAAUGGGCGCAAGCCUGAUCCAGCAACGCCGCGUGAAGGAAGAAGGCUUUCGGGUUGUAAACUUCUUUUCUCAGGGACGAAGAAAGUGACGGUACCUGAGGAAUAAGCCACGGCUAACUACGUGCCAGCAGCCGCGGUAAUACGUAGGUGGCAAGCGUUAUCCGGAUUUACUGGGUGUAAAGGGCGUGUAGGCGGGGAAGCAAGUCAGAUGUGAAAACCACGGGCUCAACCUGUGGCCUGCAUUUGAAACUGUUUUUCUUGAGUACUGGAGAGGCAGACGGAAUUCCUGGUGUAGCGGUGAAAUGCGUAGAUAUUAGGAGGAACACCAGUGGCGAAGGCGGUCUGCUGGACAGCAACUGACGCUGAGGCGCGAAAGCGUGGGGAGCAAACAGGAUUAGAUACCCGAGUAGUC